AACGAACGCUGGCGGCAUGCCUACCACAUGCAAGUCGAACGAGAUCUUCGGGUCUAGUGGCGCACGGGUGCGUAACGCGUGGGAGUCUGCCCUUUGGUUCGGAAUAACAGUUGGAAACGACUGCUAAUACCGGAUGAUGACGAAAGUCCAAAGAUUUAUCGCCAGAGGAUGAGCCCGCGUAGGAUUAGCUAGUUGGUGUGGUAAAGGCGCACCAAGGCGACGAUCCUUAGCUGGUCUGAGAGGAUGAUCAGCCACACUGGGACUGAGACACGGCCCAGACUCCUACGGGAGGCAGCAGUGGGGAAUAUUGGACAAUGGGCGAAAGCCUGAUCCAGCAAUGCCGCGUGAGUGAUGAAGGCCUUAGGGUUGUAAAGCUCUUUUACCCGGGAUGAUAAUGACAGUACCGGGAGAAUAAGCUCCGGCUAACUCCGUGCCAGCCGCCGCCGUAA
Molecule: ribosomal RNA, 449 nt
Filed under: uncultured bacterium
Lineage: Bacteria
Description: partial 16S ribosomal RNA
Rfam family: Bacterial small subunit ribosomal RNA
Source: RNAcentral